GGUCAGUUUAGUAUCACUUAUAAAUUAACUUAUUUAGCUUAUUUGAUUAAAAUAAGUCGAGUAAUUUCAAAUUAUAACUUAUUUUUUAAGCUUAUUUAGACAGGAUUUAUUACUUGAAUAUUUUCAAGACUAAUUUGCAGCCUCUACAGAAUACUACUUACAGCCAGUUUGUUUUAUCUACAAGACUAAUUUGCACACAGAUCAUUUAGAACCAUUGAUUUCCUUGGCAAUCUUCACACACAUUGCCAUAGGACAGUUUGUUUUAAUUGCAUUGGAGACAAUGUGUCAUCUACUAACAGCAUAUCCUUCCUGCAAAGCCAUUUCACCAGCUGGAAAUGUCACAAACACGAAUUAGGAUUACGCUGUUCCAAAGUAUCUACGCUAUGCCAAACUCAAUUGGGAUCCAAUUUACACUAAAUCACCCAUAUAUGGAAUCAAACCUAAAUUUGCCAUGGAAGCUCUGACUAAUCCCGAUUUAGUUAUUUUAUAAGGUUUUGGUAAUAGCUGCCAAAUAAGUGAUAUUCUUUGUUAACAGAAUACUAGUUAACAGAAUAUUUUCACAGAUUGGGACAUAAAUGUCAGAUAAAUGAUGAAAUCCUCUCUUCACCUACAUUUGAAAUCCUCCCAUCUGAAUUAAACCCAUCUGAAUAUCCUCCUGCUUGUGAUAUUCCCGAAAACUAUGGAUUUGAAAUGGAUGAUAGAUAUUUAGAGCCCGGAGACUUGGAUAAUGAAGAUGAUCCAUGGAAGCCUUUGAAUCCCUAUGAACCCAGGAAUUUGAGGGUAAAAUCUUUUAAAAAAGUGAAAUCUUUUAGAAGGCAGGGGAUUAAUUCCACUAAACGGAUAUCCAUAACUAUUCAGUUCCCUCUCGCAAGAAUGCAUGGUACCAUUAGUUCAAAGUUCAGUGAUAUAUGGGAAGCACGGCGUCAUGCCUCAGAGAGACAACAAGAAUCCCAAUCUUCUUGAAAAUAUGAAAAGUUGAGAAAUUCACUUAUUCAUGGAGGACGUGAAACUUGUGAAUCAUUUUGUGAUCCAAAUGAUGACAAUGAUUAUGAUAAUGGAGGCUUUGAUUUUGGUCCAUUUGAUUUUGACAUGCCAGAGAAUGCAUACGAGUAUGAAGAAGUACCUCUACAACCUGAAAAGGUUAGGCAGACCUCUAGUAUAUUCAGAUAUAUUUACAUCAUGAAGCUGGCAAUAACAAAAUCGGCAUUUAUGUUGCAUGCUUAUUUGUUGAUAUUUAUCUAGCACGA
Non-coding RNA from Camellia sinensis, 1247 nucleotides. Lineage: Eukaryota; Viridiplantae; Streptophyta; Magnoliopsida; Ericales; Theaceae. The record is from RefSeq and is a predicted model, not a curated record.